Molecule: long non-coding RNA, 3934 nt
Organism: Gasterosteus aculeatus aculeatus (three-spined stickleback)
Lineage: Eukaryota; Metazoa; Chordata; Actinopteri; Perciformes; Gasterosteidae
Source: Ensembl
AAACCACUUGAGUGCCGAGGCUGAAGGUCCAGUGGUGGUGUGGAGGCGCUCUGGCAGGCUGGUGUGAUCCACUGGAUCAGGAGGACGAGGACUGAGGGGGAUCCAGCAUCAGCUGCCGUCAGCAAAAUGCUUUUUCUUUUCUCGAAUUCCCACUUGUUCCCAGAGGCCCGUCGCUGUCCUGUAGGUAUCACACACAUAAACCCUCUCCAGCCUACUUUGCAUUCAGAUAGCCAUGUCGGACAUUGGUUACCGUGACAACGGUCAGGGCACGACAGCGAUGGGGUCGGCCCCUCGCACAGCCGGAUGCAUUUAUUAUUAAGAAAGUUUCUCUUUAGUUUUGCACCCGUUCGUUGGUCAAAAUGUCCUGUAAUGUGUUGAAAAUGUGGAAAGUGAGUAUUUCAUUCAUGUCUAAUUGACGCACGACGGCGUGCGGCGCUUUGGAUCUCCGACGGGAGGGCGGGGUACGUUUUGUAAAUCGUUAAUGAUUUCCUCGGCGCCGCGACAAACCUGUGCUCGACUCCGCCAGCAGCGCACACACACACACACACACACACGUCUCAUCGUCAGCUGUCAGGGUACAACUGGGAGAGCGAAUGGAGUCAGACUAACGGAUCCAGAUCAUCUCACGCGGCUCCUCGGAGGAGGUGCAGAGCUGCAGAGAGGGAGAACUUCUCCUUCUGGGGAUUCCAGUGGAACCUAACGUAACGCAAAGUGCUCGUCGUCUGGCAAACAGCUGGAUUGUCUUUUAAAUUCACCACGGUUGUUCUCAGAGGAGCUUCCCAUUGGGAGCUGGUGUGAGGGUCCGUCCCAAUGAGGACCCCCCCUCAGUCCCACAAUAUGUCUGUGUGUGUCACUAAUGAGCAUCUAGAUCACAUCCACAGUCCCAGCACCGGUCCUGGUGGCGGUUAGCUAGCGGCUAGCUAGCGGUUAGCUUCCGACUGAGAGCAAGUGUUCUGAAGUGGCUCCAACUCUUAAUCCUUAAAGUCUCUAUCCGGCAGUAAAACUCUGGAUAUGUGGACUUUUGUCUUUAUAUGGGGCAGCUGUUGUGAUGUUAUCUUCGAGUGGACUUUAGUUAUUCUACCAGAGAGGAGCUGAACCUCGGCCUCACUGGAGGAGUCUUCUGAUCGUUGAACGUCGGUUUUCAAAGUUCUUUUUCAGACUCGGCCGCAGAGGAGUUCUUUUACCCACUCGGGGGGGUCGUGUUCGAUUUGCAGGACCACACAGGAGGAGGUCUCGUGGUUGUGCGCGUCUUUGGACCCGUCACGUGGUGCAGCGCCGACGCUGCACUGAUCAAAGCAGACGGUGCAGAGACCACGGCGCCGGUUUGCGGUCCCUCCACGCGCGAACAUUAACUCUGCAACAAAAGUACCGGAAACUUCUGCAGACAUUCACAGUCUCACAUCACAUCACAUCUUUAACGUGAGCCUCACUUUCUAAAGCCCGGACGCACUUUCCUCCACACCGGCUGCUCCUGUGCUCUUAUCUCCAUCACCUCAACAGUUUAAUCCCAGGAAGCCGCCGGACUCAUUGACGCCCCUCGUCUCCGCUGCUCAUUCAGUGAAUUAUGGUCCAUUUGGAGUCAAACGGACCAUGAAGCAGGUCUCUACCACGGCGGCGUCCCGUCGGGGGUCAAGUGUCCCGCGUUGUUGUCCAACAACUUGUAACAUUGUUCUCAGCAUUCUUUAGUCAUUAGUUCCGACCUCUGGUGUCACUUUAAUGUCGCAGCAUGUUUUCUAAUAGGAACCACAGCAGGUCUGAAAUAUCAAUAUACAGCAGUUAAUAGAAUAAAUGAAUGGUCCAAGCUUCCCAAAACAGUAUAUACAGAUAUAUCUGUAUAUACUUCACUGUUUAUUUUGAUCUAAUUACUGCUAUGUAUUAUUAGUAGUAUUACACUGUAAUAAUAAUGUUUUACAGUUACUGCGACUGACUGGUAGAUCAGAGCAGUGCAGUGAGUGAGUGACAUUUAUGCAUCAAUAGUUUUGCUGCUUCCCCUCUGAACUGAAUCAGUAAAGCGUAUCUGAUGCUUAUGAGCCAUCAGGUCCAUUUCUGACGCUUCAUGUGUUUUGUGUGUGAAAUAAAUGAAGCUGCAGGACGAAUGUAGGGAGAUGAAAAGUAGGAAACUUCAGGUACAAGUACCUGAUAAGUACCUUAAGUACAUUGCAUUAAAUACUGCUCCUCUGGAAGCUCCUUAAUGAGUGAACUGACGUCUCCUAACCUACCUUCUCCCCUCCCAGAGCGCUGCGUCGCCAUGACGAGUGAGGAGGAGGAGGGGCCCGGCGUCGCCACGUGGACGGCGGCCAUCACUUCCUCCUCCCCCCGCAGGCCCCCCACGCACCGCGAGGAACAGGAGGAGGACGAGGACGGGAGGAUUGAGGAGGACGAGGAAGAGGUGGUGGAGUGCGACGGCGACGAUGAGGAGGACGACGAAGAGGAGGAGGAGGAGGACGGCCACAGCAGCGCCACCAGCGCGCCGUACCCGGAGCUCGCCCCCGUGGUCUUCUUCUGCCUCAAGCAGACCUCCUGUCCCCGCAGCUGCUGCAUCCGCAUGGUCUCCAGCCCAUAUCCUUUCUCUUGUAUACUCAGGUUCUUCUGUGAAGAGACAUCCGCUGGACAGGUGAGCCUCCACCUGGCGCUGCAUGGGGAGAGGGGGGGCGGAGAGUUGACAUCGCACCGCUGAAAACACCUCCUGUCAGGCGGAAAUCACUGUUCUCCUCACGGCGCUCUGCACUCCUCACCUGUCCAUUAACCUUCAGGUUCAUUCGUCCCCGACCGCAGAGACGGAGGAAAACAAGUGGAGAGAUGCUUAAAAGGCGAGCGAUUUAUGUUUGAGUGUGAUGUAAACACUCGUUUACAAGGAAACUAGAAGUUAAAUUAUCACCCAUCUGGAUUCUCCUUAUUAACACAAUACGAAUACACCUAAAGACAAACACCUCACUAAGCUCUACAGUGUCUAGCAGCUGCUCACGGCUGUGAUCAGAGCUUCUCAGACACAGACGUCCCUCUAGUGACCAGCAGGGGGCGACUCCUCUGCUCCCAUAGACGUCUAUGAGGAAAUGACUCUACUUCUCUGUAGUGACCAGCAGGGGGCGACUCCUCUGCUCCCAUAGACGUCUAUGAGGAAAUGACUCUACUUCUCUGUAGUGACCAGCAGGGGGCGACUCCUCUGCUCCCAUAGACGUCUAUGAGGAAAUGACUCUACUUCUCUGUAGUGACCAGCAGGGGGCGACUCCUCUGCUCCCAUAGACGUCUAUGAGGACAUGACUCUACUUCUCUGUAGUGACCAGCAGGGGGCGACUCCUCUGCUCCCAUAGACGUCUAUGAGGAAAUGACUCUACUUCUCUCUUGAUUUAUUCCCUCAGUAAACAUUGUAAACAUGAGUUUAUGUCUCAGUCUCUAGUUUCACGUCUCGUUCAACACAGCAUGAUGUUCAUUUACUAGAUGAUGGUGCAUUUAGAGUCAAACAGACCAUAAACCAGGGGCGCUGUGGGGCGGGGCUACACGCUGAUUGGCAGUUCAUUUUAGUUUGUCCACUUAUUGGUGCUUAAGGAGUUGUGAGUGCUGCCUCAGCCCCCCCGGCUCGUCCCUUCCUCCCUGAGACAGAAAAUCAUUUGUGUUUCAUUGUGUUAAAUCCUCCGGUCAGCGAGGCGGAUUCUGGGUAUGCGACGCAGACGGGCGGGUCAGACGUCUGUCGCCCCGCGUUUAUUCCCAAUCACUGGUUGGCAUGUUUGAUCAUUUCCUUGUUGCCAACCCUCAUCACCCCCCCCCUGUUGUUUCCCUCCCACCUCGUGAGGAAACGACGUGCCAGGAAUGGUCUUGCAGAAAGCGGGCGAGCCGUUGUAACGGAGGUGGACGUCGCUGCUUUCUUCAAUCUGCAGAGCUGUGAAACGCAGCUCGUAGCGACUUGAAGGCCGUGAAGGUGAAAGCACGGAGAAGC